GGACCCGCACAAGUAGUGGAGCAUGUGGUUUAAUUCGAAGAUACGCGCAGAACCUUACCAACACUUGACAUGUUCGUCGCGACUUUAAGAGAUUAAAGUUUUCGGUUCGGCCGGACGAAACACAGGUGCUGCAUGGCUGUCGUCAGCUCGUGUCGUGAGAUGUUGGUUAAGUCCCGCAACGAGCGCAACCCUCACUUUUAGUUGCCAUCAUUUAGUUGGGCACUCUGAAAGAACUGCCAGUGAUAAGCUGGAGGAAGGUGGGGUAUGACGUCAAGUCCUCAUGGCCCUUACGUGUUGGGCUACACACGUGCUACAAUGGUAGUGACAAUGGGCAGCCACUCCGCGAGGAGGCGCAAA
Molecule: ribosomal RNA, 357 nt
Filed under: uncultured bacterium
Lineage: Bacteria
Description: bacterial SSU rRNA
Rfam family: Bacterial small subunit ribosomal RNA
Source: RNAcentral